Molecule: long non-coding RNA, 1177 nt
Organism: Paramormyrops kingsleyae
Lineage: Eukaryota; Metazoa; Chordata; Actinopteri; Osteoglossiformes; Mormyridae
Source: RefSeq, a predicted model, not a curated record
AUCAUUUCUCUUCUUGGGCGCUCAUCAAAGCGCCCCAGAAGUGCAGCGAAAUAGCCAAUCGUGUAUGGUUGCUAGGCGAAAAUAAUAAAAAUUUGGCCUAUUAGCAUCGCCAAAUUAAAUGGUUUUGGGGCGCUGGAAAUUUCGCCCCUGCUACAGAAAAGAAGGGAAAGCUUUGGAUUGCUCUCAGGUCAGUCAGUCAGAGAGAGAUGAUGGCGACGAUGACAGUUGAGGGGCAGCUUCCACCAAAUUCGUUUUUGUUCCUGAAGCAAAAGUGGAGACGUCAGAGCCAACAAAGAAAAAUCAUGGAGUUCUCAGGAAAUGGAGAACAUCCUCAGGUGUACCACCUUAGGGUCACCUUUCCACAUACAGUCACAACCACAGGGAGCAGGCAGAGGGACUGACAGCCUCCCAUCUUCAUCAGUCUAGUCGCAGUUUGAUUCCAGUUUGAUUUGUAAUUGUAAUUCGUGACUUUGAUUGGCAGUAUUACCACACACCCCCCCACGGGAAAGAUGCUUCCCCCACAACUGUGCCCCACCUACAGAGCCAGCCUGAUGAGGCUGACAACCGUCAAAGAUCUGAGGAACGUCUGGGGUCCUGCUGAUUCCAGAGCUGCUUUUUAGGGGAGCAUUGAGCUUCUUCAAGAGCUGUGAGAGAUCAAAGCUGGAAAGGCCUCCACAGCCCUAUGCUGGAGAUUAGCCCGCAGAUGCAGAACACGGGCCAGAGUGCCUGGUGGUGUGGAAAUCACGCCACAGAACAUACCGACGAACUAAGGCCACAUCCAGCCCCUCCAAACCACAGCUAACUUCAGGGAGAAAUGCAGGAGACACUCAGCCAGGGGCACCAAAUGAGCAGCCAACAGGAUCCAGCGGACAGAACAGCUGCCAAACAGACACAGAACCACGCUUAUAGAGAUGCUGCCUGGCACUCCCACUGAUGGGGGCACAGAGACUGCAGAAAGGGAGGUGGGAUGUUUUUGCAGGGGGUGGGGGGGUAAAUCUUCCCCAGGGGGGUCAUACAAUCAUUCUGUUACCCCUGUAUGAUGAAAGGUUUUUAGAAAAUGAAACAAAACAGAUGCAUUGCUAGACCUGUGUUCCUUGAUAAGACUUCACAAGCAUUAUGGGUAAACGCAUGUUAGGCAUAUUGUUCAAGGUAACGACUAAGACAGAGGUGGCCAAUC